GAUGAAGUACGCAGCGAAAUGCGAUAAGUAAUGUGAAUUGCAGAAUUCAGUGAAUCAUCGAAUCUUUGAACGCACCUUGCGCCCUUUGGCUAUUCCGAAGGGCAUGCCUGUUUGAGUAUCGUGAACACCUCAACUCUCAUGGUUUGCCAUGAUGAGCUUGGACUUUGGGGGUUUUGCUGGCCUUUGGUCGGCUCCUCUCAAACGGAUCAGCUUUCCAGUGUUUGGUGGCGUCACGGGUGUGAUAACUAUCUACGCCUGUGGUUUUCUGCCAGAUAACCUUCAGCGAUGGAGGUUCGCUGGGGCUCAUAAAUGUCUCUCUUCAGUGGAGACAGCUUUUUGGACGUUUGAUCUCAAAUCAGGUAGGACUACCCGCUGAACUUAAGCAUAUCAAUAAGCGGAGGA
Molecule: unclassified non-coding RNA, 402 nt
Filed under: soil metagenome
Description: partial contains 5.8S ribosomal RNA, internal transcribed spacer 2, and large subunit ribosomal RNA
Rfam family: 5.8S ribosomal RNA (bases 1-121)
Source: RNAcentral